UGUUCAGAAUAAAAAAGAUUUUUCAAAGUCAAAGCGUUUUGAAUGCCAAAAAUCAGCCGAGAUGUUCAUCUG
Molecule: non-coding RNA, 72 nt
Organism: Pangasianodon gigas (Mekong giant catfish)
Lineage: Eukaryota; Metazoa; Chordata; Actinopteri; Siluriformes; Pangasiidae
Source: the annotation of a GenBank genome assembly